GGAAUUGACUAGUGAUUCAGGCCUAACACAUGCAAGUCGAACGGCAGCACGGACUUCGGUCUGGUGGCGAGUGGCGAACGGGUGAGUAACAUAUCGGAACGUAUCCACUAAUGGGGGAUAACGAGUCGAAAGAUUCGCUAAUACCGCAUACGCCCUACGGGGGAAAGCUAGGGACCUUCGGGCCUGGCGUUAAUGGAGCGGCCGAUAUCUGAUUAGCUAGUUGGUGAGGUAAAGGCUCACCAAGGCGACGAUCAGUAGCUGGUCUGAGAGGACGACCAGCCACACUGGAACUGAGACACGGUCCAGACUCCUACGGGAGGCAGCAGUGGGGAAUUUUGGACAAUGGGCGCAAGCCUGAUCCAUCAAAGGCGCGUGAGUGAAGAAGGCCUUCGGGUGUAAAGCUUAUGGCAAGGGAAGAAAACUUCCCUCUAACAUAGGG
RNAcentral lists this ribosomal RNA (439 nucleotides) under uncultured bacterium. RNAcentral's name for it is "bacterial SSU rRNA". It matches the Rfam family "Bacterial small subunit ribosomal RNA", at positions 36 to 467 of the family's 1533-position model. The record is from RNAcentral.